GCUUCUAGCUGAUUGUGAAGAUGGUAUCUUUAUGUGAACCCGUGCCAGUUUUAACGCAGUGUUAAUGUCCCUGUCAGUGUUAUGUCAGCCGCUCAGGAUUUUGGUGUAAUUCAGGAGGGGUGAAUGUAGCAGGUAUAUAAAUAUACAGGAAUGCAUUCCACCAAUAAUCCCUCACGUUUUAUUUUAUUGUUCCAAUAUUGUCACUUUUAUUUUGGUAUGUUUACUACAAAAGACCGUUUUGGGAGCUAAUGCUUUUAUUUUGAAGUCUUCACUUUCGGCAGUGACGUCAUCUACCUGCGUUGCACCCUCUCUCACUCAGUUGUUUGUAUGGCAGACUGAGACUGGUGUGUUGCAGACGUCCAUGUUUAUUAAUGCUGCUGCAUUAUUGUGUUUACUUCAUGCAGAGGAAUAAAUACGCCACAGUUUCGGUUAAAGACAACAACCGAAUCUCCUUGUCCAUCAAACACGCACAACACAACGCAGAGUCGUAGCAAGGGUCUGCUGAGAAGUAGGCCCAGACCGGCUACAG
Molecule: long non-coding RNA, 529 nt
Organism: Notothenia coriiceps (black rockcod)
Lineage: Eukaryota; Metazoa; Chordata; Actinopteri; Perciformes; Nototheniidae
Exons: 3
Source: RefSeq, a predicted model, not a curated record